RNAcentral lists this ribosomal RNA (589 nucleotides) under uncultured Pseudozyma. Its description in RNAcentral is "eukaryotic LSU rRNA". It matches the Rfam family "Eukaryotic large subunit ribosomal RNA", at positions 81 to 653 of the family's 3401-position model. The record is from RNAcentral. Lineage: Eukaryota; Fungi; Basidiomycota; Ustilaginomycetes; Ustilaginales; Ustilaginaceae.
UAGUACGGCGAGUGAGAGGGAAGAGCCCAAGAUUGAAAGCUGGCGUCUUCGGCGUCCGCAUUGUAAUCUCAAGAAGUGUUUUCCGCUUCGGACCAUGCCUAAGUCCCUUGGAAAAGGGCAUCAUAGAGGGUGAUAAUCCCGUACAUGGCAUGGAGCGCCCGAAGCUUUGUGAUACGCUUUCUAAGAGUCGAGUUGUUUGGGAAUGCAGCUCAAAAUGGGUGGUAAAUGCCAUCUAAGGCUAAAUAUUGGGGAGAGACCGAUAGCGAACAAGUACAGUGAUGGAAAGAUGAAAAGAACUUUGAAAAGAGAGUUAAACAGUACGUGAAAUUGCCAAAAGGGAAGGGUAGGAGGUCAGAGAUGCGUUCUGGGAUUCAGCCUUGCUUUUGCUUGGUGUUUUUCCCAGAUUGCAGGCCAACGUCGGUUUUGGGCGCUGGAGAAGGGUGGAAGGAAUGUGGCACCUCUCGGGGUGUGUUAUAGCCUUCUACUGGAUACAGUGACCGAGACCGAGGACAGCAGCGUACUCGCAAGAGCGGGCCUUCGGGCACCUUUACGCUUAGGGCGUUGGCAUAAUGGCCCUCUACCACCCGUC